RNAcentral lists this ribosomal RNA (500 nucleotides) under uncultured bacterium. RNAcentral describes it as "partial 16S ribosomal RNA". It matches the Rfam family "Bacterial small subunit ribosomal RNA", at positions 30 to 523 of the family's 1533-position model. The record is from RNAcentral.
AUUGAACGCUGGCGGCAUGCCUUACACAUGCAAGUCGGACGGCAGCACGGGUGCUUGCACCUGGUGGCGAGUGGCGAACGGGUAGUAAUACAUCGGAACGUACCUUAUCGUGGGGGAUAACGCAGCGAAAGCUGUGCUAAUACCGCAUACGCCCUGAGGGGGAAAGCGGGGGAUCGAAAGACCUCGCGCGAUUAGAGCGGCCGAUGCCUGAUUAGCUUGUUGGUGGGGUAAAAGCCCACCAAGGCGACUAUCAGUAGCUGGUCUGAGAGGACGAUCAGCCACACUGGGACUGAGACACGGCCCAGAGUCCUACGGGAGGCAGCAGUGGGGAAUUUUGGACAAUGGGGGCACCCCUGAUCCAGCAAUGCCGCGUGAGUGAAGAAGGCCUUCGGGUUGUAAAGCUCUUUUGUCAGGGAAGAAACACCGGCUCUAACACAGUCCGGGAAUGACGGUACCUGAAGAAUAAGCACCGGCUAACUACGUGCCAGCAGCCGCCGUAA